AGUGAACGCUGGCGGUAGGCCUAACACAUGCAAGUCGAACGGCAGCACAGUAAGAGCUUGCUCUUACGGGUGGCGAGUGGCGGACGGGUGAGGAAUACAUCGGAAUCUACUUUUUCGUGGGGGAUAACGUAGGGAAACUUACGCUAAUACCGCAUACGACCUACGGGUGAAAGCAGGGGAUCUUCGGACCUUGCGCGAUUGAAUGAGCCGAUGUCGGAUUAGCUAGUUGGCGGGGUAAAGGCCCACCAAGGCGACGAUCCGUAGCUGGUCUGAGAGGAUGAUCAGCCACACUGGAACUGAGACACGGUCCAGACUCCUACGGGAGGCAGCAGUAGGGAAUAUUGGACAAUGGGCGAAAGCCUGAUCCAGCCAUACCGCGUGGGUGAAGAAGGCCUUCGGGUUGUAAAGCCCUUUUGUUGGGAAAGAAAAGCAGCAGGUUAAUACCCCGCUGUUCUGACGGUACCCAAAGAAUAAGCAACGGCUAACUUCGUG
RNAcentral lists this ribosomal RNA (492 nucleotides) under uncultured bacterium. RNAcentral describes it as "partial 16S ribosomal RNA". It matches the Rfam family "Bacterial small subunit ribosomal RNA", at positions 29 to 507 of the family's 1533-position model. The record is from RNAcentral.